RNAcentral lists this ribosomal RNA (496 nucleotides) under uncultured bacterium. RNAcentral's name for it is "partial 16S ribosomal RNA". It matches the Rfam family "Bacterial small subunit ribosomal RNA", at positions 28 to 506 of the family's 1533-position model. The record is from RNAcentral.
GACGAACGCUGGCGGCGUGCCUAAUACAUGCAAGUUGAGCGAUGAAGAUUGGUGCUUGCACCAAUUUGAAGAGCAGCGAACGGGUGAGUACCGCGUGGGGAAUCUGCCUUUGAGCGGGGGACAACAUUUGGAAACGAAUGCUAAUACCGCAUAAUAACUUUAAACAUAAGUUUUAAGUUUGAAAGAUGCAAUUGCAUCACUCAAAGAUGAUCCCGCGUUGUAUUAGCUAGUUGGUGAGGUAAAGGCUCACCAAGGCGAUGAUACAUAGCCGACCUGAGAGGGUGAUCGGCCACAUUGGGACUGAGACACGGCCCAAACUCCUACGGGAGGCAGCAGUAGGGAAUCUUCGGCAAUGGACGAAAGUCUGACCGAGCAACGCCGCGUGAGUGAAGAAGGUUUUCGGAUCGUAAAACUCUGUUGGUAGAGAAGAACGUUGGUGAGAGUGGAAAGCUCAUCAAGUGACGGUAACUACCCAGAAAGGGACGGCUAACUACGU